This 112-nucleotide ribosomal RNA is filed under the name uncultured archaeon. RNAcentral describes it as "partial 16S ribosomal RNA". It matches the Rfam family "Archaeal small subunit ribosomal RNA", at positions 320 to 435 of the family's 1478-position model. The record is from RNAcentral.
GCCCUACGGGGUGCAGCAGGCGCGAAACCUCUGCAAUAGGCGAAAGCCUGACAGGGUUAUUCUGAGUGACUUUCGCUAAGAAAGUCUUUUGACAUCUCUAAAAAUGGUUAGA